GGUGGAUUUCAAGUAAUCAAGGAAUCAAAGGUGGUGAGUCCUCCGAUAAAGGCAAGGAAAUUGCAUCCGAGGACCAGUAGUCAGAGUACUUCAGAAAUCCGCACUCUAGACAUUCUUAGGAUAAUCGGUAGAUAGCUCAUUUCGUUGAGGGCU
Molecule: non-coding RNA, 153 nt
Organism: Theobroma cacao (cacao)
Lineage: Eukaryota; Viridiplantae; Streptophyta; Magnoliopsida; Malvales; Malvaceae
Source: RefSeq, a predicted model, not a curated record